Molecule: long non-coding RNA, 6712 nt
Organism: Cygnus olor (mute swan)
Lineage: Eukaryota; Metazoa; Chordata; Aves; Anseriformes; Anatidae
Exons: 3
Source: RefSeq, a predicted model, not a curated record
CCAGUUUACUUUUAUUUUUAUGUCCAUCUGUUAGUACUUACGAAUAGUACAUUAUGGCCACUCACUGUCAGGAAGAUGAUUACAGACUAUUCAGAUAACAUGCAGAUUCUUUAAGGAGCUUACAGUUGAACUUGUUGAACUUAUUGAACUGCUUCCAAAAUUCAAGAAUUUUUUUUUUGUCUAAUGUAUGUGUGCAUUUUUAGUCCUUACAUAUAAGUGGACAUUUAAAACAAAAAAUUUGUUCAGUGUAGGGAAGAAGGAAGGGAGAUGUUAAGAAUCAAAACAUCUCGCACCCUUUAUUGAUCUCUUCUGUCUUUGAUGUUCAUAUUCAUAUUGAAACAUAAAAUGACUAUACUUAUCAAGAGUAGAGGGAAGAAAUUAGAAACAAAUUAGCCUGAAAGUAAUUGUCUAUUCCUCUCCUUAGUUCAUUUUUUCCUUCUUGUCUUCCUCUUCUGUCACCUCCCAGCAGCCUGGUAUUUGAUUAAAAUGGUUAACUGUGAGGGCAAAAAUGGGCACUUAAGAAUGUAACAUAAUAUGGUAAAAGCUUUGCUUGUGGGUAUGUAGAUAGAAACAGGCUAGCCUGUAAGCCACUUGGAUGCAUGGUUUGUAUGAUUUUCUAUUGUCCUGCUACGUAUAUCACCACGUAGGAGGAAAGGAAGCAGCAAAAUGCCAAGCCUUAAAAGUGGGCUUGGAGAAAGUCUUGAAGUUUACUGAAUUGAAGGGGAUGCCUCUUAUUAUAUCAGCGAGUAGCAGGAACUGGUAUCACAUACUGGUGUGGUUCUGUCAAGCAUUCAUUAAACUUCACUUAAGAGCGAUGUGGUGGAAGAGGAGGACCACUGCAUACCAGGCUUUGGCCAGUAGAGGGCAAUGCGUGCGUGCUCUCUCUGCAUGUAUGCAUGUAGACACAUAUAUAUAAUUUUGUAUACAGAUAUAUACUAUGUAUAUAAAAAGAGACAGAGCAGUAAGCCUUAGUGGAUUGUCUCCAUGGUUCAUUUCACUCCUCCCCGCUCAGUCACCACUUAGGAAGCGGAUUCUGAGUUUGCAUCUCUGUUGUAAAUAUGAAUUCACUGAUGAAUUGGAUCAGCUAGCUCCCAGCAUUGUCUGUACGUGUGACAGAAAGCUUUGUGGUGGUGUUGAGCAUAUGGAACCUGGUAAAUACUGACCAGCUGACAGGGCAGGCAAGGUUACAGAUUUAGGGACGGGGUAUUCCAGGUUUGGUGUUACUGGCAGUUUCCUCCCUGCCUUGAAGAAAGCCUCUAACUGUUGAUUAAAACAACGGUGCACAGUCACAUGUUACUUUUCAGAGGAAAAAAAAAAGUAGGCUGUAUAUUCAUUUAAUGGAAUUGAGUGUUAUAUCCUAAGAAUUAAAGCUGGUUUUGAGCAGAUAUUUAGAAAGUACUUCAAGGCAAUUUCAGGUGAUGAAAUCCUGUUUUAAAGCAAGUUUGAACUGUAGAAGUAGUUUGGACUGUAGAACCGCUGGAUCAAGAUACAAUCAUUUGAAUUGAGACAAGUGCCCUUUGGAGACCCUGCUUUAGAAGAACUAUGUUCAGAGCGUAACCCCACACUUAUUAAGCUUUGUCUUAGUAGUGAAAGCAGUUGCUCAAAUAUGAUAGUUCAAAUAAGAUUUUGUGGCAGAAUCUAUAUGCAGAAAUCUAUCACUCUUUAAAAUUUUUUCUCUGCAAGUUUUAUCCCAGUAAUUACACAGGCUGUCUUCUAUCACUGAUAUGUGUAAGGGUAUCUAAUAUUUUUCUACUGAUCCUUACCUAGGUCAUUAUAGAUCUUAAUUAUACUUCUAUACCAGUUCUUGUACAGAGCCAAGUAUUCCCCUCUGUUACUUGAUAUUCUGUGUUAUUAAAACCAAUUAAAUUGUAUAAUGGAGUCAUGAGACCAAGAAGCUUGUUGUCUCAAAAGGAUCAACUGCAUGGUAUAUUAGCCUUCUCAACUACUAUUUUUCAUUUUGUUUCCCAUUUAACCCACAGUAGCUUCAAGAUGGCAUGGAACAUCUACUUCCAUCAGGUGAUACAUAUUUGCCCCUUAUAACAGGCUAAAUUUGGGGAAAAGGUGUUAGGCUGUCUUGUAGUCAACUCUAAUUAGGGAAAUUGUAAUUGCAUCUCCAUUUUUCUUCUGGGACAUCUUUGAAUUAUAGGCAUUAAACACCAGCAAUUCAGGUAAAGACGAGUGCUAUAAGAUUUUGCUCAAGGGAUCUUAAGGGCAUUGAUACUGGCUAGAAUACACCUCAGAGAAUCACAAAGCAACACAGUGUUCUGGAUCGCUUCAUGUAGCGUUCUUGUGAAGUGAGAUAGCAAAGAAAUAAAACCUGACUGAGUUACAUUGCUUGUUUAAAAACUUCCACUGUUCACUGUUGUUAAACUUACGUGGCCACAAAUGACAAGAAAAAUGCUAAAAUUACCUAAAAUAACAUAACUAAGUGCAUGGUUUUAUUUGCCAUGCAAAUACAUGAGAUAUAUAUAUAUAUGUAUAUAACAUGGGACAAUGUGUGACGACCCAAUUAGAGAAAUGUUUUUCUCUUGUUUGGAAGGAAUUAGAAGUUUCUGGAAGCAACAAUAUACAAAAGAGUGCAUGUAUGUUUUUAAUACCUGCAGCUAAUCCGAAGAUCCUCUUAUAUCAAAUGUUCAGGUUCUUUUCUCCAUGCUAUUUACAAGUCAGUACCUGCGUUAUAGUAACAGCACUCUUGCCUAGAGAUGAGAUUACCUCAUACUUUCUGAUUAAUUUGCAAAUACAUAGUUCUGUGUAUUCUCUUACUCUUCUGAAUGUGAACAUGUGAAAAUCAGCAGAGAGUUUCUCCUGUCACAGAGGAAACCACCUUGUGUCCCAAGUAACCCAGCUGGGCUACGUGUUUCUUGUGACACUUAUUGUCAUAGUGUCUUAAAGGAUCAGAGGCUGUUGUAGCCUUACUUCACCCUUGAUUUGUUGAUUAUCCUCCAGUCUCUUUACUUCCGAUGUAAACUAUCUUCUCUUCUGUGACCAUCCUUGUUUCUUUGUCUGCUCUUUUUUACUGUGAGGAUAGAGAGUCUCUGGAAGCAAAAGACGACAAAAGUACCCACCAAGCAGGAAAUACAUUCACACAAUGUACACAUGGCUUUUAAAAUUCUUUGCCACAAGACAGCAUGGAGGCUAAUGGUGAAAGCAGUCAGCGUUAUAUAAUAGUAAGAAUUUGGAAGAAUUUCCCCCAAAGUUUGGAAGUGAUAGUAGGUGUUCAUGUUGUGUCAUAGCAAACUUUGACUGCAGUUCAAAUAUAACUGAGUAGUCUGUCACAGCCCCUGGAGCAGUUCUGCUAGUGUCCUUGGUAGCGGCAGUGAUGGUGUUAGAAGUAGUGACGAGGUGCAGUAUGGCGCAGACUGGUGCAAUGAGUUAGGAGAGUGUUUUUUGUAUUUUUUUUUUUUUUAGAGGAGUUUGAAUGUGUCUUUGCAUGGAAUUAUUCGUGCUGAAUGGCAUUGUGAAACAGCAAGGUUAGACCAUGGAAAAAUGGUAUAUCAGUAGAACACUUUAAAUCAUUAGUUGGAAGGGUCUUCCAGAGGUGAGGUAGGCCUGUGCCCUGCUCAUAGCUGGUCUGUUUAGGCCAACUUGCUGAGGGCUUUGUCCAGAUAGGUCUUGAACAGCUGCCAGAAUGGACGUUUCCCAACUUUUCUGGGCACCUGUUCUGGUAUUUGACCAGUGUCACGGUAAACAAAAACUGCCCAGAACCAGAAAGUCCUUCAGACAUGGUGAACUAAUAGUGAACUGAAAUUUCCCAUGUUCCAACCUGUUACCUGUUGUUGUAUUGCUAUGCACUGGCUCCAUCUUUGUAACCUCUCCUCAAGUUUUAGGCAGCAAUAAGGCUCCUGUAAACCUUAUUUACAUAAACCCAAACAAACUCACUUUUCUGAGCUUCUGUUUGUGUGUCAUGUGCUCUAUCCCCAACUGUCUUAGUGAUUCUCUCUGCUGGACUUGCUCCAGUAUGUCAGUGGUUUUCUUGUGAGGGCAGAGCCCACAGCUGGACACAACACGGCAGCUGCAGCUUCACAAGUGCCAAACAGGGAAAAGAUCACUUCUCUGGACCUGUCACCUUCAGGUCCUUCUGAAUAGCAACCCUUCCCUUCAGUGUAUUGUCCGCUCCCUCAGCUUGGUGUCACCAGCAAACUUGCUGAAUGUUCACUCCGUUUUGUCACCCAGGUUGCUAAUGAAGACAGUGAGUGGUACUGGUCUCAGCUGUGGUCUCUGAGGGGAUGCCACUAGUUACUGGUGGCCAACAGCUGUGCUUUGCAUCACUGAUCACUGCUGUGCUUUGAGCCUGGUAGUCCCAGCCAAAUUUUCUUACAUGUUACCUACUUAUACAAACCAUGUCUCACAUCUCUGGUGAUAAGGAAGCUAUGGCAGAAUGUGUGAAAGUUGUCAUUGAAGUCAAGGUGCACAACAUCUGUGCUCCUCCCUGUGUGUUGAAAGCACCCAUUGCUUCAUACUGAAAGCGGUGACAUUGGUGAGGCAUCAUGUUCCCUUGGUAAACCCCUUUCUCUGUUCCCAUUUAGUUUCUUGUCCUUGAUGUGUUUAUAAAUGGCUUCUAACAGGAUUUGUUACACAAGUUUUUCAGGGACUGAAGCGUUGUCUCAGUUAUUGGGUAGAUGAAGUCUUUCACUGGAGUAGUUACUGUACUAUAGAUGGAACAACUGCUGUAAUUGAAAUAUUUUGUGAAUUCUCUUCAAUGGCUGUUUUGUGCCGUUUGUAUUUGUAGUGGACAAGCUUCUGGGUCUUAAUUUGGGUGAUAAUAACACUGGAAACUGUGAGCAGAAGACUAAAGACAGUGUAUGUGUAGUUCAUCUAAAGGUAAAAUCUUCAAUUUUCUUCCCAUCAUCUGUGUUUUCCUGGAUUACAUCUUUCCCUACAUUUCCUAAUUUGUGCCUGGCAGUCACUGGAGUAUACCUUUUAUCAGAAAGGCAGCUUACUUUCAUGCCUUGUGAAUCAAUGAGCUGUGGAAGUACAUAGUCAACAACCUGCACUGAGACAGAGCAAGUUGCAUCCCCUGUGCAUCAGUCUUUAAUGAGUAGAAAAGUAAGUGCAUUGUUAAACUAAGGUUCCUGGAUUUUGGGGAGUUUAAAUGAAAAAUGGUUGGAGUCCUUGUUGGAGGGUCCUGUGAAGAACAGCAGUUUUGUAAAAUUAUUCUUCAUGUUGUUGUUGUUAUUACGUAGAAGAGAUUCUCUACUAAAAGAGAAAAUGGACAUUCAUUAUUUAAGUUCUUCAGGCAGUACAAAAUCUAUAGUAUGAUUCAAUUUUUUCCAUUCUGAAAAAUUAUUUUUAGCUGGAUUUCUGCCAGCUAAAACAUGAAAAAAGCUGGCCUUGGGUUGGAUGCACCUCUGCCAUUGGCUAAAAAUACAAAGAAAACUGUUAUGGAUUUGUCUUUUCAAGCUAUCUGCUCCUCUGCUCCAUACUGCAACGCUCACGUGGCCCAUAAAUGUCACAAUUUCUUCUACCACAUGUUGCUCCUGACAUGUAAAUUUUGUUUCCUGUAGUGUUUCCCACAUGCUGCUUUAAACUUCUGUACUUAAAUAGCAUUGAGCUUGGGCUGGUCAUAAUGCAGGAAGAAUUCAGUUCUGAAAUGGGAGGGCCUCAUGAGCUGCCAUGCUGGCAGUGGUACUGUUUUUGAUACCAAAAGGGUUGGAGCUCAGGUGCCUCUGAUUAUUUUCAGUGCAGCAGAAUGAUGGGGAGAGAGCGGUAUCAGAGAUAACAGCAGAAUAUAUUUUGCUAUUUUUGAUGUGGCCUUUCAGACUGACUGCUCAUGUCCAGAGUGGCUGAGAUGUUUUCAACUGACUGACUGCAGCAUUACACGGGCCGCUAGUUCAGAUACUGGAAUACAAAUGCCACAUGCAUUAACAAAAAUCUGCAUCGUACUGGUCUGAAGAAAGUGUAAUUUCCUGCCGCGUACACAGUCAUGUUCUGUUUUACCAGUGGCUCACGUUUGUUAGCAAGAAUAACAUCCAAAAGGAGACAUUAGUCUCCUAUGUGGAGGAGGAGGUGAGAGCUGGCUUUGGUUAGAAGUGCUUUUAGACAUGCAAAUGACUCUUAGGGGUACCUUCAGGUAUAAAUAAGUUCAGGUCGUCCUCCAUAUUUCCUAUUACGUCCUUUUAAAAAUAUAUUUGACCAGGAAUUUGUAUGUAUGUGUAUUUUGUGUCAGAGGUGUUUCUUUGAUGGAGAGAUGUGUGCAUGUAUGAUGAGUGAUCUUUGGGCUUACUGUAUUGGUCUUAACCAUAUGCCGUUUGUUCUUUCUAGUGAAGCAUGUGCAACUUACUGUGCUGGUUAACUAUCGUUAUUUUUAUUAUUAAUUAGGUUCCAGUGCUUUGAAAUGAAAUUCUCUUUGAACAUCAUGCUGCUUACAUAAAAACAAUCUGAAGUGAUAGGAUCUGCUCAAAGGUGGAGCCACCUGCUUGAAUUUGUAGUUGUGAUCUGGAAGACCUGUCUGUGCCAGACCUUCAGCCUUGUUUAAGCAACUUCACUUUGGCAUCAUUGCAUCUGUUCAACUUUGUUGCCUUAAAAGAAGUACGCAGCAUUCAGGGAAAACAUUGUGGGAUGGACUUUCCUGUCACCGCUCCAUACAUUUUGGGUUUUUAUUCUCGUGUACUCUUGAAGGCUGGGCUGUGAAGCCAGGCUGCAUGAAUCCCGUUUUUUAGUAUCAACUGACGAUCAGAGGGAAAUUUCUCCCAAGGCAGAGCAACUUCUUGGA